UUCCACAUCAUCACCGUAAAUAGUCGAAAUGUAGAAAGAGACCUCAUCAUCUCUCUUACUUAAAUCCUCAUAACCCAAUAAAUAAGAUCCCAAAAACACGUGAUCUGACUCAACAUAACUAAUUCUCCCCAAAGACCGACGGUCGAGAUUUCUUUGGGAUUUGUGUUUCAAACCACAGAACACUUCAUGCGUCUCACAUGGCUCCCAACAGUGAGGUACAACAAUGCAAAAAGCAAAGCCUACUAAUAUUUUACAUGAGGCUAGUUGCUCAAUUCCAG
Molecule: long non-coding RNA, 278 nt
Filed under: Citrus sinensis (sweet orange)
Lineage: Eukaryota; Viridiplantae; Streptophyta; Magnoliopsida; Sapindales; Rutaceae
Description: long non-coding RNA (CSIN_LNC005833)
Source: RNAcentral